RNAcentral lists this ribosomal RNA (460 nucleotides) under uncultured bacterium. RNAcentral describes it as "partial 16S ribosomal RNA". It matches the Rfam family "Bacterial small subunit ribosomal RNA", at positions 338 to 795 of the family's 1533-position model. The record is from RNAcentral.
CCUACGGGCGGCAGCAGUGAGGAAUAUUGGUCAAUGGACGAGAGCCUGAACCAGCCACGUAGCGUGAAGGAUUACUGCCCUGGGGGUUGUAAACCUCUUUUAUAGAGGAAUAACACGACGCUCGCGUGCCUGUAUGCAUGUACUUUGUGAAUAAGGAUCGGCUAAAUCCGGGCCAGCAGCCGCGGUAAUUCGGAGGAUCCGAGCGUUAUCCGGAGUGUUUUGGUUUAAAGGGAGCGGAGAUGGGUCGGUAAGUCCGGUGGGAAAGUUUGCGGCUCAACCGUCAAAUUGCAAGUGGGACUGGCAGUCUUGAGUGCAGUAGAGGUAAGUGGAAUUCGUGGUGUAGCGGUGAAAUGCUUAGAUAUCACGAAGAACCCCGAUUGCGAAGGCAGCUUACUAGACUGCGACUGACACUGAGGCACGAAAGUGUGGGUAUCAAACAGGAUUAGAUACCCGAGUAGUC